UUUGAUCCAGAGAUUUCCGAAUGGGGAAACCCAGCAUGAGUUAUGUCAUGUUAUCGAUAUGUGAAUACAUAGCAUAUCAGAAGGCACACCCGGAGAACUGAAACAUCUUAGUACCCGGAGGAAGAGAAAGAAAAUUCGAUUCCCUUAGUAGCGGCGAGCGAAACGGGAAGAGCCCAAACCAACAAGCUUGCUUGUUGGGGUUGUAGGACACUCUAUACGGAGUUACAAAGGACGACAUUAGACGAAUCAUCUGGAAAGAUGAAUCAAAGAAGGUAAUAAUCCUGUAGUCGAAAAUGUUGUCUCUCUUGAGUGGAUCCUGAGUACGACGGAGCACGUGAAAUUCCGUCGGAAUCUGGGAGGACCAUCUCCUAAGGCUAAAUACUCUCUAGUGACCGAUAGUGAACCAGUACCGUGAGGGAAAGGUGAAAAGCACCCCGGAAGGGGAGUGAAAUAGAACCUGAAACCGUGUGCUUACAAGUAGUCAGAGCCCGUUAAUGGGUGAUGGCGUGCCUUUUGUAGAAUGAACCGGCGAGUUACGAUUUGAUGCAAGGUUAAGCAGUAAAUGUGGAGCCGUAGCGAAAGCGAGUCUGAAUAGGGCGUUUAGUAUUUGGUCGUAGACCCGAAACCAGGUGAUCUACCCUUGGUCAGGUUGAAGUUCAGGUAACACUGAAUGGAGGACCGAACCGACUUACGUUGAAAAGUGAGCGGAUGAACUGAGGGUAGCGGAGAAAUUCCAAUCGAACCUGGAGAUAGCUGGUUCUCUCCGAAAUAGCUUUAGGGCUAGCCUCAAGUGAUGAUUAUUGGAGGUAGAGCACUGUUUGGACGAGGGGCCCCUCUCGGGUUACCGAAUUCAGACAAACUCCGAAUGCCAAUUAAUUUAACUUGGGAGUC
Molecule: ribosomal RNA, 891 nt
Filed under: Staphylococcus aureus
Lineage: Bacteria; Bacillati; Bacillota; Bacilli; Caryophanales; Staphylococcaceae
Description: partial 23S ribosomal RNA
Rfam family: Bacterial large subunit ribosomal RNA
Source: RNAcentral